RNAcentral lists this ribosomal RNA (539 nucleotides) under Rhodotorula graminis. RNAcentral describes it as "partial large subunit ribosomal RNA". It matches the Rfam family "Eukaryotic large subunit ribosomal RNA", at positions 78 to 629 of the family's 3401-position model. Lineage: Eukaryota; Fungi; Basidiomycota; Microbotryomycetes; Sporidiobolales; Sporidiobolaceae. The record is from RNAcentral.
CCCUAGUAGCGGCGAGCGAAGCGGGAAGAGCUCAAAUUUAUAAUCUGGCACCUUCGGUGUCCGAGUUGUAAUCUCUAGAAGUGUUUUCCGCGUUGGACCGCACACAAGUCUGUUGGAAUACAGCGGCAUAGUGGUGAAACCCCCGUAUAUGGUGCGGACGCCCAGCGCUUUGUGAUACACUUUCAAUGAGUCGAGUUGUUUGGGAAUGCAGCUCAAAUUGGGUGGUAAAUUCCAUCUAAAGCUAAAUAUUGGCGAGAGACCGAUAGCGAACAAGUACCGUGAGGGAAAGAUGAAAAGCACUUUGGAAAGAGAGUUAACAGUACGUGAAAUUGUUGGAAGGGAAACGCUUGAAGUCAGACUUGCUUGCCGGAGCUUGCUUCGGUUUGCAGGCCAGCAUCAGUUUUCCGGGGUGGAUAAUGACGGUUUGAAGGUAGCAGUCUCGGCUGUGUUAUAGCUUUCCGUUGGAUACAUCCUGGGGGACUGAGGAACGCAGCGUGCUUUUUGCGAAAGACUCGUCUUUUUCACGCUUAGGAUGCUGG